Molecule: long non-coding RNA, 612 nt
Filed under: Ricinus communis (castor bean)
Lineage: Eukaryota; Viridiplantae; Streptophyta; Magnoliopsida; Malpighiales; Euphorbiaceae
Description: long non-coding RNA (RCOM_LNC001014)
Source: RNAcentral
CCAAGACAAACAAUAUAUAUACACAUGUAUUGACAUUCUCUUCCUUAUUCCAAACCCUCUCAAACAAACACCACCAAACACCUAUAGACCUAACUAUAUAUCAAUCAAAACAUCAAGAAAGUAACCCUAUAUAUAUAUAUAUAUAUAUAUCUUAGCUCUCUCUCACUAAAGAAAAGAGAUAUAUAUCACAAUGAGGUCUCAUAAUAAUUCUCUUGUGGUAGCUUUGAAUGUUACAUCUAUCUUCAUCAUGUUCUUCCUUCUGUUGUCUUGCUCCAUGCAAGUUGAAGGCAUAAGGGUUCUUGAUCAGCAACAUUCUUCUUCUUCUUAUUCUUCUUCUGCAUCACUAAUGAAGAUUUUUAGUAUCCGAGCUUACUCUGGCCCAAGCCGCCGCGGACGCGGUCACUGAUAUAUAUAUAUGCAACCAUAUGAAUGACAUAUACGAUUCUUUUGGUAGAGUAAUAUACGUAUUAAUACACAUAACCUAGUGAUCAGUUGUUAUAUUAUUUUAUGCUUAUUUUGUUAAGAGAACACUUAAGUGUUCAAUCACUGUAAAUGAACCAGUUCUGAUACUUCGAUGAGAUAUAUAUAUAUACAUACCUUUCUUCAUAUUUA